Molecule: ribosomal RNA, 440 nt
Filed under: uncultured bacterium
Lineage: Bacteria
Description: partial 16S ribosomal RNA
Rfam family: Bacterial small subunit ribosomal RNA
Source: RNAcentral
CCUACGGGUGGCAGCAGUGGGGAAUAUUGCACAAUGGGGGAAACUCUGAUGCAGCGACGCCGCGUGAAGGAAGAAGGAUUUCGGUAUGUAAACUUCUAUCAGCAGGGAAGAAAAUGACAGUACAUGACUAAGAAUCCCCGGCUAAUAACGUGCCAGCAGCCGCGGUAAUACGUAGGGGGCAAGCGUUAUCCGGAUUUACUGGGCGAAAAGGGAGCGUAGGCGGUUUAGCAAGUAAGAAGUGAAAGCCCGGGGCUCAACGCCGGGACUGCUUUUGAAACUGGUGAACUUGAGUGCAGGAGAGGUAAGUGGAAUUCCUGGUGUAGCGGUGGAAUGCGUAGAUAUUAGGAGGAACACCAGUGGCGAAGGCGGCUCUCUGGACUGUAAAUGACGCUGAGGCUCGAAAGCAUGGGGAGCAAACAGGAUUAGAUACCCGAGUAGUC